UGAGGAAUAUUGGACAAUGGGCGCAAGCCUGAUCCAGCCAUGCCGCGUGCAGGAAGAAGCAUCUAUGGUGUGUAAACUGCUUUUGUACGGGAAGAAACACUCCUUCGUGAAGGAUCUUGACGGUACCGUAAGAGUAAGGAUCGGCUAACUCCGUGCCAGCAGCCGCGUUAAUACGGAGGAUCCAAGCGUUAUCCGGAAUCAUUGGGUUUAAAGGGUCCGUAGGCGGUUUAGUAAGUCAGUGGUGAAAGCCCAUCGCUCAACGAUGGAACAGCCAUUGAUACUGCUAGACUUGAAUUAUUAGGAAGUAACUAGAAUAUGUAGUGUAGCAGUAAAAUGCUUAGAUAAUACGUGGAAUACCAAUUGCGAAGGCAGGUUACUACUAAUGGAUUGACGCUGAUGGACGAAAACGUGGGGAGCGAGCA
RNAcentral lists this ribosomal RNA (422 nucleotides) under uncultured bacterium. Its description in RNAcentral is "bacterial SSU rRNA". It matches the Rfam family "Bacterial small subunit ribosomal RNA", at positions 355 to 774 of the family's 1533-position model. The record is from RNAcentral.